AUUACUGUUCGUUCACCCCCGUUACUCCGUGCCGUCCACACCCACGUGACGACUGCUCGCUACGGUGUGUUGGCC
RNAcentral lists this small RNA (75 nucleotides) under Xanthomonas vesicatoria. RNAcentral describes it as "sX9". Lineage: Bacteria; Pseudomonadati; Pseudomonadota; Gammaproteobacteria; Lysobacterales; Lysobacteraceae. The record is from RNAcentral.